AUGGAGAGAGGUAAGGAAAGAGAUGGCCGUGAGGGGUGGUAGGGCAAGGGACCAAUGAUGGGGUGCCUGGGCUGAGGCUGUGAAGGGAGAUUGGUCUGUGGAGAACAGAGUCCCUGAUUGCUGGCUGUAUGAUUGGCUCUGGCAUCUUCAUGUCACCACAGGAGGUCUUGGUCCACAUGGGUAAUCCUGGGGCCAGUCUUAUGGGUGGGCUGUGGCUUCCUGGCCAUGCUGGGCACCCUGUGCUAUGCUGAGCUGGGUGCCUUGUUCCUGAAUCUGGGGCAAGUAUACCUACAUCUUAUGAAACUUUGGCUCCUUGCCAGCCUUCCUGGUCAUCUUCACAUAUUUGCUGGUGGCCAGACCAGCUACCAUUGCUUCUGUUUCUCUGAGCUUUGCUGAGCAUGCAAUGGUUCCCUUUUACCCUGGCUGUGCCUCACUGCCCCCUGCUGUGCUCAAGAAUGUGGCUGUCACCAGCAUCCUCCUGCUGAUGGUGGCUAACUGCUGGAGCUUGAAGCUGGCCACCAUGCUGACAAAUGUGUGCAUGGCUACCAAAGUAUUCUCAUUGCUGGUCAUCCUUGGAGCGGGGGUGGUGUUGGGCCAGGGCCACAUAUGCACGGAAGCCCUUCUGUCUGCCUUCCACCACAUGAUGCAGCAGGCGGGGCACAUUGGCAUGGCCUUCUAGCCUUCUACCAGGGCCUGUGGUCUUUUCUGUGGUCCUUCGGUGGCUGGAAUAGCAUCAACUAUGUGAUGGAGGAGAUCCAGAAUCCACAGCAGAACCUGGUGUGGGCACUAGUGAUGGCCAUCCCCCUGGUCACCAGCCUGUAUAUCCUGGUCAACCUCAGUUACCUGCUAGUGCUAUCACCCAGUGAGACCCUCUCUGCUGACUCUAUGGCUGUAAACUGGGGGUGGGUUCUGGGCCUGGCUGGUGCCCUUGGCUGUUGCAGUCUCAAUAUUUGGUUCCAUCAGUGAGAUGUUCUUCAGCGGAAAUCGUUUGUGCUACGUGGCUGCAAGAGAGGGCCACAUGCUGAAUUCUGUCCAUGGCUCAUAUUUAUCAUCCCACACCAACUCCAGCCCUGAUGUUCACCAUGGCCGUGGCUUUGGUCCUGGGCAUUCCAGGAAGUUUCAGUACCACCAUGAACUUCAGGUUCCCACCUUCAUUCCCGCCAUCACACUCCUGGCUUAUCUCUACUGGUGCUGGCGCCCGUCAUCAACCAUCCCCAGACAGAGUUCCUAUACAUCUUCCUCUUCCUGCUCAGUGGCUUCCUGGUGUACUUCCCACUUGUCCACUUCCAGUGCCAGCCCAGGUGUUUGCAGCUGGCCGCUCUACAUCUCUAGAUGCUCCUGGAAGUUGCUCCAGACACUAAA
Molecule: small RNA, 1362 nt
Filed under: Pan troglodytes (chimpanzee)
Lineage: Eukaryota; Metazoa; Chordata; Mammalia; Primates; Hominidae
Description: unitary pseudogene
Source: RNAcentral